AGUCAACGCUAGCGGCGUGCUUCAGGCAUGCAAGUUGAACGAGAAAGUUCUCUUCGGAGAGCGAGUAUAGUAGCGCACGGGUGAGGAGUACUUAGGUAACUUACCCUCUCGCUGGGGAUAACAGGUGGAAACGCCUGCUAAUACCGAAUAGUCUUAUCAUUUCCUCGGAUUUGAUAAGUAAAGCUACGGCGCGAGAGGAGAGGCCUCAGUCCUAUUAGUUUGUUGGUAAGGUAAUGGCUUACCAAGACUACGAUAGGUAGCUGGUCUGAGAGGAUGUACAGCCACACUGGAACUGAAACACGGUCCAGACUCCUACGGGAGGCAGCAGCUAGGAAUAUUGCGCAAUGGGGGAAACCCUGACGCAGCAACGCCGCGUGAGUGAUGAAGGCCUUCGGGUUGUAAAGCUCUUUUAGUUAGGAAGAAAAAAAUGACGGUACUAACAGAAAAAGCACCGGCAAACUUCG
RNAcentral lists this ribosomal RNA (464 nucleotides) under uncultured Pseudomonadota bacterium. Its description in RNAcentral is "bacterial SSU rRNA". It matches the Rfam family "Bacterial small subunit ribosomal RNA", at positions 32 to 505 of the family's 1533-position model. The record is from RNAcentral. Lineage: Bacteria; Pseudomonadati; Pseudomonadota.